GACGAACGCUGGCGGCGUGCUUAACACAUGCAAGUCGAACGCUGAAGCUCAGCUUGCUGGGUGGAUGAGUGGCGAACGGGUGAGUAACACGUGAGUAACCUGCCCUCUUCUUUGGGAUAACGCCCGGAAACGGGUGCUAAUACUGGAUAUUCACUGAUUCUCGCAUGGGGGUUGGUGGAAAGGUUUUUUCUGGUGGGGGAUGGGCUCGCGGCCUAUCAGCUUGUUGGUGGGGUGAUGGCCUACCAAGGCUUUGACGGGUAGCCGGCCUGAGAGGGUGACCGGGCACAUUGGGACUGAGAUACGGCCCAGACUCCUACGGGAGGCAGCAGUGGGGAAUAUUGCACAAUGGGCGAAAGCCUGAUGCAGCGACGCCGCGUGAGGGAUGGAGGCCUUCGGGUUGUAAACCUCUUUCACUCAUGGUCAAGCCGCAGCUUUGGGUUGUGGUGAGGGUAGUGGGUAAAGAAGCGCCGGCUAACUACGUG
This 482-nucleotide ribosomal RNA is filed under the name uncultured bacterium. RNAcentral describes it as "partial 16S ribosomal RNA". It matches the Rfam family "Bacterial small subunit ribosomal RNA", at positions 28 to 507 of the family's 1533-position model. The record is from RNAcentral.